This is a long non-coding RNA of Oreochromis aureus, 2495 nucleotides long. The record is from Ensembl. NCBI's taxonomy places the organism in Eukaryota, Metazoa, Chordata, Actinopteri, Cichliformes, Cichlidae.
GCUGGUUGAUUCGAGUCCAUGUUAGUGCACACAAAGUAAACUGCACGCUUUAGUUUUGAGCAUAAAACGCUGAAACCGGAGAAAUAAACCGUGCGAGGGGAACGAUAACGACGGCAAGAGUCCCCCGAUCAUUUAUUCUCGCUGUCCUGUGAACAACAGCGUGGUGUUAAUUGUUUGCUGUUUUCGCGAUCGUGUCGAGCAUGAGGCUAUCACCAGCAGCUCCUGAAACGCAAGACUGCCACACAUCUGUUCGACCAACGCCAGUUGAUCUAAACGCCAGUAGAUCUGGAACACCGGGCCGCCCAGGGAGAAGAUGAUUUGCAGGAUCCUGCUGCUCAUCAUCCUCACCUCAUGUGUCUCUGGAUCAUUUGUAGUCAAUGUGACACAGACCUCCUAUCAGGCAGAGGAGAACCACAACAUCACACUGGAGUGGACGUUCACCACCAACCCUGACAACUCCACAAACUCUGCUUCCAUCAUCUGCCAACAGAUGACUAAUUAUAAAACCUUUGGCUUCUAUCAUGUGUCCAAUGAUGUUGAGGUGUCAGAGUCUCAGGAUGAAAAGUUUUCAGGACGAGUCCAGAGUGACAAAGACGCCCUCAGAGAAGGACGAAUCAGACUUCAACUGUCCAGACUCAGGACUGAUGACUCGGGUCUGUACCUGUGUGAGGUGAAAACCGAGUAUGAUUAUGGCUUUGAUUAUUGUCGACUCAGCAUACACGCAGCUGCUGUUCCAUCAGCACACACCUGGAUGCAGAGGACGGUCCUCUACACUGCACUGGGACUGGAACUGACAGCUUUACUUGGCCUUGCAGUUUUACUGGUUAAUCGUUUCUGUGCCUUAAGAUGUCAUACUCGGCUGAGAAGAUACAAAAAUUUUAUUUAAAUGUUUAACAGGAGCUUUGUGGUGUCAAUUUGCACUAAGAGAAACUAAAAGCAGGGCUAAGAGGGAGCCAUGGGAGCCAUUUCUAUACGGACGAGCCGUCAGAGCAUCAGGCAGAAAACCUGAAGUUCAAGAAUCCAAGACAGCAUAAUGUCUGUUUGAAGUACCAGAAAGCCUCAUUGUGAUAUGAAGUGCUUAUUAUGUGCUCAUGUAUCACUGCAGAAAGGAUGAUGAUGUAGGUUAUGCUCCCAUGUGUGUCCUGUAUUUCUAAGCUGGACUCAUCCUGCCACCAAAUGGGAACUUUAAAAAAAACAAAAAACAACUUCUGCUCUCUUCAGUUUGUACAGCCUUUAAUCCACCAGAGGAUUUAGCCUAUAAAUACGCUGUUUUCCCAUCAGCUGUAUUCAGUGGUUAAACUUUAACAAGUGCCUGGAGUCAACAAGACCAAAGAAGGAAAUGUGCUGUUAUUUAAUCCUGACAGUAGGGACUGGACUUUGUUACGGCAGAUAACACACCUCAUUUGCUUCCUGUUUCCUCAAAGUGUAUGUGUUCCUUUAAGGAGCACACUGUCACGACCCUUUUGUUUUUACAAACAACAAUAAACUUUAUUAAUGACGUGGUUUACAGGAUUUGCAAUAACAAACAUGCAGUAAGAAAAUAGUCCUUUCUUUAUGCACAUACAACAGUUGUUAUUAGACUUUGGUACAUGCACAUUCCAUAGAGAAAGGCAUGAGCUGAGCAGAUGGUUCGAUUUUUCAUUGUCUAAAAUUCUGCUGCAGGUUUCUGUAACUUGUGGUUUCGACAAACUCAAACUAAACUGCUGCUGCUGCUUUUAUUUCAUUUCUUUCUCAAAUCAACACACACAGGCUGAUGAACUCGAUUUCUUUGAGCUGGAGUUCGUGAACUGGACGAAUUUCAUGUCUCAUGCUCAAUGCUUUCUUCUUGUUUUAAAUCCAGUCUAAAUUUUGAACUACACUGAGAUUUCAAGACGCUGCCUGCAGGACACAAAUCAUGUCUGGAAAUAGAUUCUGAGAUCAAUAUGAGAUGUUGUUCCUGCAUGAAGAUACAACAUACAGUUCUUUAUGCACUAUAGAGGAGGAGCAUAACAGCAACAAGAACUUCAUCAAAAUAAUUUAGGCAUGGAUUGAUUUGCUUUUAUGGGGAAAGAAAAAUAUCCAUGAAAAUAAGUAUUUUCCUCCACUUAUGGAACUAAGUGAAAUUCACCCUCUUGGCCAGAUGAUGGUGCUAUAAGCUCACCACUUCACUGUAUCCAAUCAAAUAUAUUAUCAUUAUUAUUAUUAUUGUUGUUGUUAUUAUUAUUGUUAUUAUUAUCAUUAUCAUUAACAUUAUUAUUAUUUUAUGGCACUUAUUGAAACCAAUGUUGCAAACUGCUUCAGUAAAACACCCUAAGCAACACAAUAAAUAUCAAACAAAAUGAAAAAGCAACACUAACCAAACCAUAUCCAUGUCAGUUAGGACAUGAAAGAAUUCCUUGAUCUCUCAAAACAAGAUAGAGUGGGAUUCAAAACAAGUUUAACAUUACCAUUACUUAAAACAGUAAUAUGGGGAUUAAAUGAGAAUGUCAAAGAUGUAAUGAAAUUUAUAAUAAAAC